RNAcentral lists this unclassified non-coding RNA (228 nucleotides) under Hevea brasiliensis (rubber tree). Lineage: Eukaryota; Viridiplantae; Streptophyta; Magnoliopsida; Malpighiales; Euphorbiaceae. The record is from RNAcentral.
GUAGGCAGCCUUCGGGUGCGGUCCAAAUUAUGUAAUAACUAUUUUUUGUUUGUUUUAAAUUCUUUUUGUUUGUUUUUCAAUUCACAUUUGCAUUUCACUUGGCUUUUGGAUUUUUGUCAUUUGAGCAAUAUUGUGUAAUAAGGAAUUGAUGUUAUUGUCCUUAAGAAGUCAUCCUAUGACCCAUAUUCUUUAUUGUUAUCAAAUGUAAGAAUUCAUCUUAAGGCCCCG